GAUGAACGCUGGCGGCGUGCUUAACACAUGCAAGUCGAACGGGAAACCUUUUAUUGAAGCUUCGGCAGAUUUAGCUGGUUUCUAGUGGCGGACGGGUGAGUAACGCGUGGGUAACCUGCCCUAUACAGGGGGACAACAACCAGAAAUGGUUGCUAAUACCGCAUAAGCGCACAGGACCGCAUGGUCCGGUGUGAAAAACUCCGGUGGUAUAGGAUGGACCCGCGUUGGAUUAGCCAGUUGGCAGGGUAACGGCCUACCAAAGCGACGAUCCAUAGCCGGCCUGAGAGGGUGAACGGCCACAUUGGGACUGAGACACGGCCCAGACUCCUACGGGAGGCAGCAGUGGGGAAUAUUGCACAAUGGGGGAAACCCUGAUGCAGCGACGCCGCGUGAAGGAAGAAGUAUCUCGGUAUGUAAACUUCUAUCAGCAGGGAAGAUAGUGACGGUACCUGACUAA
This 457-nucleotide ribosomal RNA is filed under the name uncultured bacterium. RNAcentral describes it as "bacterial SSU rRNA". It matches the Rfam family "Bacterial small subunit ribosomal RNA", at positions 28 to 486 of the family's 1533-position model. The record is from RNAcentral.